GAUGAAGAACGUAGCGAAAUGCGAUAAGUAGUGUGAAUUGCAGAAUUCAGUGAAUCAUCGAAUCUUUGAACGCACAUUGCGCCCCCUGGUAUUCCGGGGGGCAUGCCUGUUCGAGCGUCAUUUCACCACUCAAGCCUCGCUUGGUAUUGGGCAUCGCGGUCCGCCGCGUGCCUCAAAUCGACCGGCUGGGUCUUCUGUCCCCUAAGCGUUGUGGAAACUAUUCGCUAAAGGGUGUUCGGGAGGCUACGCCGUAAAACAACCCCAUUUCUAAGGUUGACCUCGGAUCAGGUAGGGAUACCCGCUGAACUUAAGCAUAUCAAUAAGCGGAGGA
RNAcentral lists this unclassified non-coding RNA (331 nucleotides) under soil metagenome. RNAcentral's name for it is "partial contains 5.8S ribosomal RNA, internal transcribed spacer 2, and large subunit ribosomal RNA". The stretch from base 1 to 120 matches the Rfam family "5.8S ribosomal RNA", at positions 35 to 154 of the family's 154-position model. The record is from RNAcentral.